AAACGAAACAGGAACAAAACAUGUGAACACUCCAAAAGUGAACACGUUUUUACACCGGAUAUCAGUGGAUACGAUUCGCUAGUUAUUAGCAGACCCGAGGACAACUACCAGGAAUUAAACACAGUCACUGCCGAUCGAUGAACGAUAAUUAUGUCACCACUAACUAUCUGACAUAUUUUGUUUGUAUUAUUUGUAAAUAUGUGCAUUGGAGCAUUCACUUUUGAAAGCCAGCACUAACAUUUUCAUUUUUGUGUCUCAUCCAUACGCUUGCGCUUACACGUGUAUGCGAGAAUUGUCGAGAAUGCCUUGGUCGAUUUAAAAAUUGAUUCAUUUCAGACGUAUUACAGAAUACAGGGAGAUAUUCAUCGCCCGUUAUAUUUUCGCCCCUUUCACACUCGUCAGCGGGUAAAUUUAAGACUAUGCGCACUCUAAUGUCUCAAAGUAUCUCUUUAAGAACACAACUGUGUUUCAGCGAAUUUAAGAUGGAGCGAAACUAUUUGGAGAUAAAGAAGGGAGAAACUUAUAUGGGGCAAAAAUAUACAUGUAAACAGUAUUAUAGAUUAAGUAAGAAUAAACUUUUUAUAAUGUAUGGUUUUGACACAGCCUGAAGCAAAGCUAUAUAUCAAUUCAAAUCUAUCUUGACAAUAACAGAUUGCACUGAUAAAAAAUAUGUACUAACUAGGAACAUGUUAAGACGGUUGCAAAAGUGGAUGGAAGUACAACAGUCUUUAGAAAGUACAUUCAUUAAAUUCUACAGACAAUGAACAUGUUUAUAUUAGCACUGUUUUAUUCCAUAUUCAGUCGGCUUAAUACUUUCUUUGCUUGCUUACUUUUCCUGCCUAUGUGACAAAUGUAGCAACGGCUAAAAGAUUUUCAUACAUUCAGCACAUUUUUAAAAAUUGUAGUUCAGAAUUACAAAAAUGAUUUACAUACCUGUAUUAUAGUCUAAAUAAUGCUAUUGUUUGAGUCUGAAAGAUGAAAAAUAUCCAUAAAUUGAUUAUCAUACAUGACACUAUUUUUCCAAAAAUUUAGUUAAAGGUGAUGGAAAAUCUUCUUCAUACCGGUAUGCUGUGGUAGCAGCUAUCUCAGUGUCAAUAAUAUUGAACGUCGUGCAGACGACAAAAGGUAAAACAAAAGAAGAACAAGACAUGUGAACAAACCAAUAA
Molecule: long non-coding RNA, 1166 nt
Organism: Magallana angulata
Lineage: Eukaryota; Metazoa; Mollusca; Bivalvia; Ostreida; Ostreidae
Exons: 2
Source: RefSeq, a predicted model, not a curated record